GGAUAUGAGGGGGUCUGGCUGCGACAUCUGUCACCCCAGUGAUCGCCAGCGUUGAUUCGGCUGAUCUGGCUGGCUAGGUGGGUGUCUCUUUCCUCCCUCACCGCUCCACGUGUUUCCCUCCUGAAGCUGCACACUCGGUCGAAGAGGACGGCCUUCCCCGAAUAGAGACGGACCAGACAGGUGUAGGAGUAGCUGCGCUCCCCUGCUAGGACCUCCAAACAAGCUCUCAAUUUCUCUGUCUCUACCAAAAUAAAUAAAUAUUUUUACAUGCUAUCAACUAUGUUUCAUGAUAAACAUUAAAGGUCAGGCAGUGAGCACAGUGAAGAA
Erinaceus europaeus (western European hedgehog) is the source of this 327-nucleotide non-coding RNA. The record is from Rfam. Lineage: Eukaryota; Metazoa; Chordata; Mammalia; Eulipotyphla; Erinaceidae.